This 466-nucleotide ribosomal RNA is filed under the name Vreelandella stevensii. Its description in RNAcentral is "partial 16S ribosomal RNA". It matches the Rfam family "Bacterial small subunit ribosomal RNA", at positions 338 to 795 of the family's 1533-position model. Lineage: Bacteria; Pseudomonadati; Pseudomonadota; Gammaproteobacteria; Oceanospirillales; Halomonadaceae. The record is from RNAcentral.
CCUACGGGGGGCAGCAGUGGGGAAUAUUGGACAAUGGGCGAAAGCCUGAUCCAGCCAUGCCGCGUGUGUGAAGAAGGCCUUCGGGUUGUAAAGCACUUUCAGUGGGGAAGAAAGCCUUGGGGCUAAUACCCUCGAGGAAGGACAUCACCCACAGAAGAAGCACCGGCUAACUCCGUGCCAGCAGCCGCGGUAAUACGGGAGGGUGCGAGCGUUAAUCGGAAUUACUGGGCGUAAAGCGCGCGUAGGCGGUCUGAUAAGCCGGUUGUGAAAGCCCCGGGCUCAACCUGGGAACGGCAUCCGGAACUGUCAGGCUAGAGUGCAGGAGAGGAAGGUAGAAUUCCCGGUGUAGCGGUGAAAUGCGUAGAGAUCGGGAGGAAUACCAGUGGCGAAGGCGGCCUUCUGGACUGACACUGACGCUGAGGUGCGAAAGCGUGGGUAGCAAACAGGAUUAGAUACCCCGGUAGUC